AGCAGCCGCGGUAAUUCCAGCUCCAAUAGCGUAUAUUAAAGUUGUUGCAGUUAAAAAGCUCGUAGUUGAAUUUUGGGUCUGGCCAGGCGGUCCGCCCUCUGGGUGAGCACUGUUCCGACGCCGGGCCUAUCCUUCUGGUGAGUCGGCAUGUCCUUUAUUGGGUGUGCCGGGGAACCAGGACCAUUACCUUGAAAAAUUAGAGUGUUCAAAGCAGGCGUAUGCUCGGAUACAUUAGCAUGGAAUAAUGAAAUAGGACGCGUGGUGCUAUUUUGUUGGUUUCUAGAACCGCCGUAAUGAUUAAUAGGGAUAGUUGGGGGCAUUAGUAUUCAAUUGUCAGAGGUGAAAUUCUUGGAUUUAUUGAAGACUAACUUCUGCGAAAGCAUUUGCCAAGGAUGUUUUCAUUAAUCAAGAACGAAAGUUAGGGGAUCGAAGACGAUCAGAUACCGUCGUAGUCUUAACCAUAAACUAUGCCGACUAGGAAUCGGGCGAUGUUAUUCUCAUGACUCGCCCGGCGU
Molecule: unclassified non-coding RNA, 515 nt
Filed under: uncultured Glomus
Lineage: Eukaryota; Fungi; Glomeromycota; Glomeromycetes; Glomerales; Glomeraceae
Also listed under: 1 other name
Description: SSU rRNA
Rfam family: Eukaryotic small subunit ribosomal RNA
Source: RNAcentral